AGAUGAUAUUAGAGCGAGAAAAUAUUUUUCAGUAUUUGAGGGAAGAAAGAAAAAGACUCUUGAAUCUUAAGAAUUGUUGAGUGUUUGAAAGAGAAGUUAAAGAAACAAUCCGUUCUUCUUCACUGUUAACAAUUAGCAUCAACUGCUAUUGUUCAUUAAAGCUUCAAGCUUCUUUGUCUUGAUUGAUAAAAAUCAGAAAUUAUUUUUUGGCAACUGGAUACUUCUUUAUUAGUCUGUCUCCUGGGUUUUCUGUUAUUCCCGCUGUUACUGGGUUACUCGUGUGUUGUUGAACUGCUGUUGCUCUGUGUGUGCUGCUAUUACUUCCUAAUAAUCUUCAUCUUCUUUGUAUUCCAAUACCAGGUACACCACUUUGAAUCACUUUGAUGUACGCUUCGAAGAUGAAAUAAAAUGGCAGAAAUUUAUAUACUUAGUUAUAGUACAUUAAUAUUCAGUUAAACAUUAGUUAUAUAUAUUUUUCCGCUAUGCAUUAGUUAAUCUUUGAAUCUUGUUAGUAAUUAAGAUUCGCAAAUAUUAGGCAAAUAUAAUAGGCCAGUAAUUUCUUAGAAUGAACAGGCUUGAUGUUUAAUGUGUGAUUCAACGUAGCAAGGCUAAGAACAUUAAUCCAUAUGCGCGAAUUUGAGAAAUAUGACUUAAAUUUAUAUUUUAAUAAAUUUUUUUUAGCUUUAAUGAUUAUGGUUAAAUCUAGUUGCAAAUAAUCAAUUUCAAUAGUUUUUAUAUAACAAUGUGAGUUUUAAUCUAGCUAUAAUUAAUUGCUUUUAAAUAUUAGUUGUCGAAUAUUUUUAGUUUAUUUACAAUUUCGAUUUUUUUAAUAUUUGUAUUUAUUAUUUUAUAUAUUUUAUUUUUUUUCCACUAAUAUUUGCCUUAUUCUAUCCAUUAGUGUGUUAUGUUCUUUUUAUUUUUUAAGCAUGUAAUUAAUUAGGAUUUUUUUAUUUAGAGACGAACUUGAUAGAAAAAAAAUGUAAUCACUUUAGGAUUGUCCUUUUAAAAAUAAAUAAGGCGUGCCUCGCUAAAAUACUUGUAAAUCGCGGGGCCCUCAUACUUGUUUUAUAAAAAUUAUUUAGAAUGCGGGACAUGCCCUUUAGAGAAUUCCACGGCUUUCUCAAAAUAAUUAUGCGUUAGUAUCUUUAGGCGCGUAUUUAAUAAUGUUAUCCUCCCUAAACUCGGGUACACAUUUAUGUGACCCAAAUCCAAAUCCCAACGAAGUCGUAACAUAUUGAAAAUUGCGAAUAUAUUUAUGUGACGCGGUUCGAUGUAUAUUCUCACGACGUUGCAAUUCUUUUAAACAAUAAAUAAAUAAUGAUAAAAGAGGCUAAAAGUUAAAAUUUGCAUAAGUUCAUAAUUGUAAUAAAAUCAGAUUAAUAAGCCGAAUAUGACAGUUGAGCGACCGUGCUAGAACUACGGAACUUGGGAAUUCCUAACACCUUCUCCCGGGUUAAUAGAAUUCCUUAUCCAGACUUCUGAUUCGCGGACUGUUAAAUAGAGUCAUUCCUUUCCUCGAUUCGGGAUUAAAAUCGGUGACUUGGGACACCAUAAAUUUCCCAAGUGGCGACGCUGAAUCUUUAAUAAAUAAUCCCGUUUCGAUUGUCUUUUAAUUGAAAAAACUUCCUUGCGCCCUCGCGGACGCGUAAAAAGAAGGUGUGACAGCUAUGGCGACUCUGCUGGGAUAAAAUUAACCGAGAACAACUGGUUCAUGGUUAGAAAUUCGAGCUUAGAAUAAUUGUUGUAUUUGGCUUUCUCUAUUAUCUGAUGUUUAUUACAUUUUAUUUUGGAUUUAAUGUGCAAAUUGUUGCUUAUUACCGCUUUGAUAUUAUUUAAACUGUGUAUAUAAACUACUACGAAACCCUACUUCUUUCUAAGUCUUCUGAAAAUGGUUCAUACGUUCGCGUAGCCCGCCUUUUGAAAAAUUAUGCCAAAUAGAGAGAGUGUUGGGCAAGCGACAAGGUCGGGCAUACUUUAGUGCUUCUGUUACAUCGCCCCCUCCUCAGCCCCAGUUGUCCGCUCGGGUUCCCCAACUCAAGAUCAAAACCCAUGUUUUUCUUUUACCUAGUAAAACACAACUUCAUGCCAGAUCCCUAGUAGGAACGUUUAUUUGCAUCAUGUGCAUUUGACUUAGGAGGCUCAACACAGGGGUUGGGUCCGUCUAGGACAAGCAACCUGAAGUAAAAAGACCAUCAUAUUGCAUCCUAUUUGUUUUAUGCAUUUGUUUGCUUCAGACUGGUAUGCUGACCGGCUUUGAAUACUGGAAAAUUGUGAAAAAAAAAUCGAAAAAAUAGCAAUGUAGAGUGUUAGUUACAUAUUUUUAUAAAAUCAAUUUCCAAAUAGUGGCGGAACUCUACCAAAAUUCUGAGAAAAUGAAAAAAAAAAAGAAAAUUGUUUUUUAGUUAAGUUUAAUUUAUUUGAAAAAAAAACAAAAGAAAUGAGUCUUAUUUUUAAAUUUAGUUUGUUUUCUUGGGCGAACUACGCCGGUUUGAUUCUUAUAGUGUGUGAGAUACGUAGGCAACCCUUAUCGGGUCCAACCUCCCCUUUUGCUAAAAUAGCCACACACAAAAAAUGUCAAAAUUUUAAUUUUUCUCAUAAGGAAGUGAGGUGAUGUUGUUUACGUCAAAAAUAGCCGAAUGUUCCCGAAAGGGACGUCGGAAGGCUGACUUUGCAUAAACGGCCACCUUUGGUCAUUUUUUAGAUUUUCAGUCAAUUGACCCACAGAGCCUUAGAACCUUCGUCCCCGAGGCUUUGAAAGGCCGUGUUUGCAAAUAUCUGGUUUUCUAUUUUUGAAAAAACAAGAAAAGAGUCAUAAAUAAGUCGGUGAUGCUGUAAAUAGCCGAAUGUUCCCGAAAGGGACGCCGGAAGGCUGACUUUGCAUAAACACCCACUUUCAAUCAUUGUUUUGGGAUUUUGGUCGGUUAGCUAACGCAUCCUUAAAAUUUUUGUCUCCGAAGUGCUGAAAGGCCGUGUUUGCAAACCAUUCUUGCCGAGAUAGCCUUGGUGUAUCUUGCAGUUGUCGAAGGGCUAUUUUAAUAAAAGAACGAAGAAGUUUGUGAAAGGACGUAAAAUAAUCCUUCCCGGCCUCAAGGUCUGAUUCAUGCGGGGUCAUGAUACGUAGGCAAUAUCUAUAAGAUUCGACCACAACCAAAAAAAAUGAAAAAAAAGAGAAAAAAAGGAAGAAGAUGUUGUUAAUAAUAGGGACCGACUCAGUCCGUUCUGACAUGUUUUCUUUUGAAUUGUAAAUAAAGAAGGGUGGUUGGUU
Molecule: long non-coding RNA, 3265 nt
Filed under: Nicotiana benthamiana
Lineage: Eukaryota; Viridiplantae; Streptophyta; Magnoliopsida; Solanales; Solanaceae
Description: long non-coding RNA (NBEN_LNC039813)
Source: RNAcentral